AGAAAACAGUUUCCUGAUGUUAGUUUAGCUUAAAAACUGACUUUAAAACCAAUCAAAUAUUUGUUAAAUACCUUCAACGUUAACAAUCACAUUUAAUAAACCGACCGGCGGCAGUUUAUGUGUAAAAACCUGAACUUUUUAGACUUUUUUGACCGUUGCCCCAAAGGAAGUUGCUGUCCUUAUUUACGUAGCCGUACGGACACCCCCGGUGCUAUUCAUACGUGACCGAUGACGUUCCCGGAAGUCAUGUGACCAUUCCGUACGGACUACCGGAAAAGAAAAUGGCUGAGGAAGUGUUACACGUUGGUGCUGAGUUCAAAUGUUUGGAUGAUUUAGAGGCUGCCAUCAACCAAUAUGAGUCAACAAAGUACAUAAACUUGUACAGGAGAAGCAGCAGAUCUAUUGCUGCGUUCUGUAAGCGCAGGAAUACAACAAAAACUAUUCCUGAGCAGCUGAAGUUUGCAGAGAUAGACUAUGCCUGCAUUCACGGCGGCAAGAAAUUCAAAACCACUUCAGGAGGUGCCAGGCCAAAUCAAAGUACAUUCCAACAACAGUGUCCUGUGGUGGUCAAAGUCCGACUGUCUGAAGACUGGCAGAAACUAGUGGUGAAGAAGUUGACAGAAGAGCACAAUCAUCAGCUAUCACAGGUGGCAUAUAAACACUUACCCAGACAGAGGCGGCUCGAUCCUAGGACCAGAGAAGAGGUGUUCUGCAUGCUCCAGGUGAAAGCCGACAAGAAAUUGAUCCAGCACCACGUUCACCAGUCCACAGGCCGUAUUCUCACACUGAAGGAUCUUCACAACUUGGGACGAUCACGCGAAGCCGACACCGAGAACGAUCUCCACGCACUUUUGUACGAAAUGAAAAAGGAACCCGGCAGUGUCACCGAGGUAGUUUUAGGCACUAACCAUGUACUUCAAGGAAUAUAUUACCAGGACCAUAAAAUGCAACAGAUUCAACGGGCAUUUCCUGAGCUCAUGCUCAUAGACGCCGCCUACAAGUUGAACGAUUUCAGAAUGGCCCUGUAUGUACUCAUGUCAGUGGAUGGCAAUGGUGAGAGCCACGUUAUUGCAUUUUGGAUCGUCACCAACGAAGAGCGUGCUACAGUGGCUGCCCUCACAGACAUCUUCAUUCGUCUGAACAGUGCUGAUCAGAUUAAGUGCAUCAUGGCUGACAAGGAGAUAGUGGAACGAGAUGUGAUACAGGAGAAAAUACCCCAUGCAGCACUUCAGAUAUGCCUGGUCCACACGCUGAAGAUGUUCCGUCGUGAAAUAACCUGCGAGAAGAUGGGUAUUAAGUCUGAGCAGAAGCAGUCCAUCCUAGAAACUCUUCAGAAAAUGACGUACGCAAGGGACGAGGAUGAGUACAUGAAACAUUAUGAGGCUCUGUGUGACCUAAACAUCAAACCUGUGACUGACUAUGUCAACACUCACUGGCAUGACAUCAGGACGCAGUGGGUGGAGGGGCUAAAAUCACAGGCAGCCAAUUUUAUGACCAGCACCAACAACCGCGUCGAUCCGAUCAGUCAAAAACUGAAAGGCGUUAUCAGCAAGUACAGCGGUAUGGUGACCUUCUUCCGUGACCUAAAGACUGAACUGGCCGUACUUGAGACAGAGAGAAAUCAUCGUACCCUUCAGAUAAUCCAGAAAUCAUCUGCUGUACAGUCCAGCCCCGACAGUCCAGAAAGCCUGUACUUGCGCUUGCUUACUCCAUAUGCUUCACGAUUUGUCAGUACUCAGCUAUCUUCAGCCAGUUCACCAACAACCACUGUCCCAGAUGCCACUACAACCACAAGCUGCACAUGUGGAUUCUGGCACUCGAUGUCCCUACCCUGUAAACACAUAUUGAAGAAGAGGUCAGAGAGUGGUCUGCCCCUCUAUGCUGAAGAACUGGUGGCUCAACGUUGGCACAAAUCGUACUACCUUGAUUCUCUUCCCAUUUUCAAAGACACUGCUGAGCCAGCGGUCAUCCUGGCGCAACAACACACAGUAACCCAGAAGCCAUUGUCGCAGAGUGACCAAUAUCAAAACCUACCAAAUCCUGACCCUGCUUCCACUACUUCAAAUACACUUAUAGAUCUGUCUAUGGUGACCCUACCUCCCAAAAUGCCCAAACGGGGAAGGCCAAAGGGGGCGGGACUAACAGGUAUUGGUCUUCCUAAGAAGAGAGCUCGAAGCACUGAGCACCCUGUUCCCUUUACAAAGAAGGACCCAGCUGACAAAGACACUUUAUCCUGAGUUGAUUAGUGAGCGAGGAAAUGGUGGAACAUGCCCUGGACGAUGCUCACAAACUGCCUAAAAUGAGUCUCCUCCCACAGGAAACAGGUCCCCAGAGUAAAGACAUGGGUAUGGCGUAACUGUCCGCAACAGUGAAAAAUGACACUUUAGUUUGAUUUGUUGUUUGUUUUUUUAAAAUAUGCUCAAAAUGCAAACUUGAUCGUGUGAAAAUAUUUGCAUUGUUUUGGUUUCUCCUUGAAUGUGACAUCAUUGUAUUACAAUGUGUAACUGUUUAUUGUCCUCAAAUCUUGUUUUUAUACUACGCUGUUCUUCAAAUAUAUUUUUAAAUGUUUUGAACUAUAGUUUUGUAUAGUUAUGUAUAUAUAAUUGUUAAACAAAAUGCC
Molecule: long non-coding RNA, 2620 nt
Organism: Gouania willdenowi (blunt-snouted clingfish)
Lineage: Eukaryota; Metazoa; Chordata; Actinopteri; Blenniiformes; Gobiesocidae
Source: Ensembl